GGCUGGUUCUCAGGUGAUGCACCCGGGAUUGGGCUCCCUCCUCUCUGAUUCCGGGGUGCAUCACCCAAGAACUGCU
Molecule: non-coding RNA, 76 nt
Organism: Myotis brandtii (Brandt's bat)
Lineage: Eukaryota; Metazoa; Chordata; Mammalia; Chiroptera; Vespertilionidae
Source: Rfam